RNAcentral lists this ribosomal RNA (424 nucleotides) under uncultured prokaryote. RNAcentral's name for it is "bacterial SSU rRNA". It matches the Rfam family "Bacterial small subunit ribosomal RNA", at positions 355 to 796 of the family's 1533-position model. The record is from RNAcentral.
UGGGGAAUAUUGGACAAUGGGGGCAACCCUGAUCCAGCCAUGCCGCGUGCGUGAAGAAGGCCUUAGGGUUGUAAAGCGCUUUCAGCGGGGACGAUGAUGACGGUACCCGCAGAAGAAGCCCCGGCUAACUCCGUGCCAGCAGCCGCGGUAAUACGGAGUGGGCAAGCCAUGUUCGGAAUUACUGGGCGUAAAGGGCGCGUAGGCGGCACAUCAAGUCAGAGGUGAAAGCCCCGGGCUCAACCUGGGAAUUGCCUUUGAAUCUGAUGAGCUAGAGUCCGGAAGAGGAUAGCGGAAUUCCCAGUGUAGAGGUGAAAUUCGUAGAUAUUGGGAAGAACACCAGUGGCGAAGGCGGCUUCCUGGGCCAAUACUGACGCUGAGGUGCGAAAGCGUGGGGAGCAAACAGGAUUAGAUACCCCCGUAGUCC